CCUACGGGAGGCAGCAGUAGGGAAUAUUGCUCAAUGGGGGAAACCCUGAAGCAGCAACGCCGCGUGGAGGAAGAAGGUUUUAGGAUUGUAAACUCCUUUUGUUAGGGAAGAUAAUGACGGUAUCUCACGAAUAAGCACCGGCUAAUUCCGUGCCAGCAGCCGCGGUAAUACGGAGGGUGCAAGCGUUACUCGGAAUCACUGGGGGUAAAGAGUGCGCAGGCGGGGUUGUAAGUCAGAUGUGAAAUCCUGUAGCUUAACUACAGAACUGCAUUUGAAACUAUGAGUCUAGAGUGUGGGAGAGGUAGGUGGAAUUCUUGGUGUAGGGGUGAAAUGCGUAGAUAUCAAGAGGAAUACUCAUUGCGAAGGCGACCUACUGGGGUGCGACUGACGCUGAGGCUCGAAGGUGCGGGUAUCAAACAGGAUUAGAUACCCGAGUAGUC
Molecule: ribosomal RNA, 440 nt
Filed under: uncultured bacterium
Lineage: Bacteria
Description: partial 16S ribosomal RNA
Rfam family: Bacterial small subunit ribosomal RNA
Source: RNAcentral